UUCUAGGUGUGACAAGUUGUUUGGACAGCAGAACCUUUUAAGGGGUCCCAUACCCAACUAAAAGCCUUUUGAUUUCUUUUCUCUCCCACACCCAACUUUGAAACACACACACACACACACACACACCCUCAUUUGGCUCCUUUUGUUAUAAAUGAGUGGGCUUGGAGGAUAAAGAAUUGCAGAUGGGUGUCCCAAAUUCUCCAUUCUAAGACUACCCCCACCAAAUUUCUCACUCCCACUCCCCUCUCUUUCUCUCUCUCACCAUUUUUCCUCUGUAGCUUAGGCUCUCCAAACUUCGACAUGAGGGAAAAGAAGGUGUGUGUAGAGCAAGAUGGAGAAGCAGGGCACGUGCAUUACUAACUCAUUUGGAUUUUUGGGCUUCCAUGUAUUUUGGCUUCUGGGGAUCGGAGAGCGAGAGAGAGAGUUAUUGAUGCUAUGGCUAAAAGGGGUUCCUUAAUUAUGUUUGUUAGCUUUCAGUGAGUUAGUUCUUCAUGUGCCCGUCUUCCCCAUCAUGACCACUGCACCUUGUACUGUUUUUUCACCUUUCUUAAUGAUUACCCAGGUGAACAAUCAUGCAGACAAUUCACAUCAAGAUGGCCAAAAUGCUCUAUUUUCAGAUGCUUUAGUAGUACUGAAGAUGGUUUUGCAUGGACAAGCAAUUUUUUUUCCCCUAAUGAUUUACUGCAAUUCUUACUUAAGAAAUUAUGGAGUUUGGAUGGCUUUCAGCAUAAGAUGGUUUUUAGCCCCAGUCUCCAAUAGUAGGGGUAGAUCGAAAUUACACUGAAAUGACAGAAGGAUUUAUAUACAUCAUAUAUAUAUUUAUAUAUAUAUAGAUAUAUAAAUUUUCCCACUAAGGAGAAGACCUAUUCACCGACAAAAUUCAAGGUUUGAAAAGGAAAAGGCAAAUGAAAAGGGACAGGCAUCAAUAUGAUCUUUGGACGGUUCAAUGAUUUCGCUGAAAAAGUGUAAAAAGUGAGUCAAUAUUGCUUAUUUUGGUGAUUUUCAUCUUAUUCUACUCCAAUUUAUUGAGUAAAAUGAAUUUUUAUAUUUAAUCAAGCCAGUAUCA
Molecule: long non-coding RNA, 1066 nt
Organism: Ziziphus jujuba (common jujube)
Lineage: Eukaryota; Viridiplantae; Streptophyta; Magnoliopsida; Rosales; Rhamnaceae
Exons: 2
Source: RefSeq, a predicted model, not a curated record